GUAGUUUGAGUGUGAUCAGAAGCAACACUCAUAAUGUUGGGGUCCCUAGUUCGAAUCUAGGUGUAGCCACCA
This 72-nucleotide transfer RNA is filed under the name Granulosicoccus sp. RNAcentral's name for it is "tRNA-OTHER". The record is from RNAcentral. Lineage: Bacteria; Pseudomonadati; Pseudomonadota; Gammaproteobacteria; Chromatiales; Granulosicoccaceae.